Long non-coding RNA from Hibiscus syriacus, 407 nucleotides. RefSeq lists it as uncharacterized. The record is from RefSeq and is a predicted model, not a curated record. The transcript is spliced from 2 exons. Lineage: Eukaryota; Viridiplantae; Streptophyta; Magnoliopsida; Malvales; Malvaceae.
AAGCAAUGAAGCAGACAUUCAACAGAGCACUCAAAGCAGCAAUGAUUUCGGUUAUCAGAAAGAAAGUCCCAAGGCGUUGCUACAUGGAGCAGUCAUCUCUGCCUUUCUGGCCAUAGCUCAAGCCAUGACUGAUCAAGGAUGUGUAUAGAAAAAGAAAGUUAAUUUGUUGUUUUUCACUACCAAUGACCACCAUUUGGAGACUCAUUCACUCCAUAGCAGGAAAACUGCAGAGCUCAUCAACAUCUUCGUAUCGUCAUCGGAAUCCUUACCGGAUAAAAAAAAAUAUUAGAGACAUGACAACUAUCAUUGUAACAUACAUGUAAUGUAGUAGUGGGUAGUGCAAGACAUGGAAAUGGAUGAGUUGUUAUUUUAGAAUUUUAUUGGAAUAGGAAUUUGCAUGAGCAAUA